UACGUAGGGUGCAGGCGUUAAUCGGAAUUACUGGGCGUAAAGCGUGCGCAGGCGGUCUUUUAAGUCAGAUGUGAAAUCCCCGGGCUUAACCUGGGAACUGCGUUUGAAACUGGAAGGCUAGAGUGUGGCAGAGGGGGGUGGAAUUCCACGUGUAGCAGUGAAAUGCGUAGAGAUGUGGAAGAACACCGAUGGCGAAGGCAGCCCCCUGGGAUGAGACUGACGCUCAUGUACGAAAGCGUGGGGAGCAAACAGG
RNAcentral lists this ribosomal RNA (253 nucleotides) under uncultured bacterium. RNAcentral's name for it is "partial 16S ribosomal RNA". It matches the Rfam family "Bacterial small subunit ribosomal RNA", at positions 524 to 776 of the family's 1533-position model. The record is from RNAcentral.